GUGCAAGCGUUAAUCGGAAUUACUGGGCGUAAAGCGCACGCAGGCGGUCAAUUAAGUCAGAUGUGAAAGCCCCGAGCUUAACUUGGGAAUUGCAUCUGAAACUGGUUGGCUAGAGUCUUGUAGAGGGGGGUAGAAUUCCAUGUGUAGCGGUGAAAUGCGUAGAGAUGUGGAGGAAUACCGGUGGCGAAGGCGGCCCCCUGGACAAAGACUGACGCUCAGGUGCGAAAGCGUGGGGAGC
Molecule: ribosomal RNA, 238 nt
Filed under: uncultured bacterium
Lineage: Bacteria
Description: partial 16S ribosomal RNA
Rfam family: Bacterial small subunit ribosomal RNA
Source: RNAcentral